Molecule: ribosomal RNA, 253 nt
Filed under: uncultured bacterium
Lineage: Bacteria
Description: partial 16S ribosomal RNA
Rfam family: Bacterial small subunit ribosomal RNA
Source: RNAcentral
UACAGAGGUCCCGAGCGUUGUUCGGAUUCACUGGGCGUAAAGGGUGCGUAGGUGGUCGGGUAAGUUUGAUGUGAAAUCUCUGAGCUCAACUCAGAAACUGCAUUGAAUACUAUCCGGCUUGAGAAUCGGAGGGGGGACUGGAAUACUUGGUGUAGCAGUGAAAUGCGUAGAUAUCAAGUGGAACACCAGUGGCGAAGGCGAGUCCCUGGACGAUUUCUGACACUGAGGCACGAAAGCUAGGGGAGCAAACAGG